AUUAUUAAGUAAUUCUUUCUUACAGUUUACAGCAAACCAGGCCUUCAUAGAGUUAAAAAAAAUUUUUUUGUUU
Non-coding RNA from Pangasianodon gigas (Mekong giant catfish), 73 nucleotides. The record is from the annotation of a GenBank genome assembly. NCBI's taxonomy places the organism in Eukaryota, Metazoa, Chordata, Actinopteri, Siluriformes, Pangasiidae.